AUUGAACGCUGGCGGCACGCUUUACACAUGCAAGUCGAGCGGUCAAAAUGAGGGGGCUUGCCCCCGAAAGACGAGCGGCGGACGGGUGAGUAACGCAUGGGAAUGCGCCCAGUAGUGGGGGACAACCCUGGGAAACCAGGGCUAAUACCGCAUGUUUUCCACGGAACAAAGCGGGGGACUUCUUCGGAAACCUCGCGCUAUUGGAGCAGCCCAUGUCCGAUUAGCUUGUUGGCGGGGUAACGGCCCACCAAGGCGACGAUCGGUAGCUGGUCUGAGAGGAUGAUCAGCCACACCGGGACUGAGACACGGCCCGGACUCCUACGGGAGGCAGCAGUGGGGAAUAUUGGACAAUGGGGGCAACCCUGAUCCAGCGAUGCCGCGUGAGUGAAGAAGGCCUUCGGGUUGUAAAGCUCUUUCGCAGGGAAAGAAAAAACGCGGGCGAACAGGCCGCGUCCAUGACGGUACCCUGAGAAGAAGCGCCGGCUAACUUCGUGCCAGCAGCCGCGGUAAUACGGGGGGCGCAAGCGUUAAUCGGAAUUACUGGGCGUAAAGCGUGCGUAGGCGGCCGAGCAAGUCAGAUGUGAAAGCCCCGGGCUCAACCCGGGAAUUGCGUCCGAAACUGCCCGGCUAGAGUUCGGCAGAGGAAGGUGGAAUUCCGCGUGUAGCGGUGAAAUGCGUAGAGAUGCGGAAGAACGCUAAUGGCGAAGGCAUCCUUCUGGGCCGACACUGACGCUGAGUCACGAAAGCGUGGGGAGCAAACAGGAUUAGAUACCCUGGUAGUCCACGCCCUAAACGAUGCCCGCUAGCUGUCGGGGGGAUUUCCCCCCGGUAGCGAAGCUAACGCGUUAAGCGGGCCG
This 857-nucleotide ribosomal RNA is filed under the name uncultured beta proteobacterium. RNAcentral's name for it is "bacterial SSU rRNA". It matches the Rfam family "Bacterial small subunit ribosomal RNA", at positions 28 to 871 of the family's 1533-position model. The record is from RNAcentral. Lineage: Bacteria; Pseudomonadati; Pseudomonadota; Betaproteobacteria.